This 334-nucleotide unclassified non-coding RNA is filed under the name soil metagenome. Its description in RNAcentral is "partial contains 5.8S ribosomal RNA, internal transcribed spacer 2, and large subunit ribosomal RNA". The stretch from base 1 to 120 matches the Rfam family "5.8S ribosomal RNA", at positions 35 to 154 of the family's 154-position model. The record is from RNAcentral.
GAUGAAGAACGCAGCGAAAUGCGAUAAGUAAUGUGAAUUGCAGAAUUCAGUGAAUCAUCGAAUCUUUGUACGCACAUUGCGCCCGCCAGUAUUCUGGCGGGCAUGCCUGUUCGAGCGUCAUUUCAACCAUCAAGCCCCAGGCUUGUGUUGGAGCCCUGCGGCUGCCGCAGCCUCCCAAAACCAGUGGCGGGCUCGCUAUCACACCGAGUGCAGUAGUUUACUCUUCGCUCAGGGCGUGUGGCGGGUGCUAGCCGUAAAACCCCCAACUUCUCAAGGUUGACCUCGGAUCAGGUAGGAAUACCCGCUGAACUUAAGCAUAUCAAUAAGCGGAGGA